This is a long non-coding RNA of Strongylocentrotus purpuratus (purple sea urchin), 620 nucleotides long. RefSeq lists it as uncharacterized. The record is from RefSeq and is a predicted model, not a curated record. NCBI's taxonomy places the organism in Eukaryota, Metazoa, Echinodermata, Echinoidea, Camarodonta, Strongylocentrotidae. The transcript has 3 exons.
AAUGACACCCUCAUUCAAUACCUUCUUCUGGCAUUUUUUCAUGGUUUCUAGCUCGUCAGCGAUGUGCCUUUAAAAUAAUGUUCGACCAUGUCACGGUGUCAGUUGUCUUGAAUCAAAACUGAAAGUUGGACGCUAGCUUUUGAAAGAUGUGAAGGACAUACUUAUAUGAAUUACCUACAGUCAUCAAUUAUUAUCAUGCUCGCAUGCAUAUCUAAUACGGAAAUAUACAGACUUGUUAUUGCACAAUAUAAAUGAAAGUUGGCCAAAACAUUAAUUGACAGUUUUACAUUGGAUACCGGUUCGGACGUCCAUUCACGUGUGGCAAGAACUGGCAACAGUCAUUUUCCAUUCGUAUACAUCACUUGUUUGCAAGAGUUUUAGCUUGUUCCUACGGUACUGUAAACAUUCUCUUUUAAUCCGAAUUCAACAUGGACGAAGAAGGAGCGAAAAUUGUUCUUUUAGGGGAGUUGAACGUUGGGAAAUCAAGCAUCGCCGGCAGAUUACAAAGAGACCAAUUCAAUGAUAAAUAUCAAGCAACUAUAGGUGCAACGUUUACGACCAAACACAUGGUUGAUGGUAAUCGAGAAUACACAUUUUUAGUUUGGGACACUGCAGGAAAA